This 832-nucleotide long non-coding RNA is filed under the name Heterocephalus glaber (naked mole-rat). RNAcentral's name for it is "lncRNA (ENSHGLG00000034921.1)". The record is from RNAcentral. Lineage: Eukaryota; Metazoa; Chordata; Mammalia; Rodentia; Bathyergidae.
UUUUAAAGUCCCAUCUUAAUUCUCCAGAGAACCACUAAGAAAAUUGUAAAGAUAUGGAAAAACAAGGAAUAACAUGACUAUGAGUAUCUCUUCUCCUGCAACUCAGAAUUCAUGGUGAUCAAGUUCCUACUAAAACAAUAGGUUCUCUUCCUCAGGAUAUGAACUGGAAGUUCUCAAGAUUUCAUUGUUGGAAGCAUUAACAGGAAUAAUACCCCUGAUUUAGUCUGUUGUGUGCUGCUAUAACAGAAUUUCUGAGGUCGAAUAAUUUAUAUGAACAGAAGUUUAUUUUCUCAGGAUUCUGGUGGCUUGGAAUUCCAAGAUCAAGUCUCCAGUAUCUGGCAAGAGCCAUCUUGCUGUGUAAUCACAUGAUGGAAGGCAGAGAGGCAAAGAGUGUCUCUCUCCAGUAGAAUGUUGCAGAAAUUGGAAGACCUCCUAAAGCUUAGACUGAACUCAGAAUAUCACACACAUUCUAGUAAUCAAAGUAAGUCACAAGGCCAGCCCAGAUGCAAGGAAAGGAGAAGUGGACUCAACUUCUUGAUGGGAGGAGUGGUAAAGUCCCAUUGCUCAGGACAUGUGGAACAGGAAUGAUGCUUGCAGCUGUCUCUGGAAAUAAUCUAUCAGUUUUUCCUUGAGAAACUUAUUUAAUCACCUGAUUUCCCCUAGCUUUGUCUGCAAAGAAAAUAACUUCAUGCAUUGCUUAAUGAUGAGAAAUGGAUCGGUGGGUGAUUUUGUUGUGUUAACAUGGUAGUAUACUCACACAAACUGGGACCGUAGAGCCUACUACAUGCCUAGGUCAUAUGGUAUGGCCUAUUGCUCCUUGGCUACAAACCUG